Oryzias melastigma (Indian medaka) is the source of this 1038-nucleotide long non-coding RNA. RefSeq lists it as uncharacterized. The transcript is spliced from 4 exons. Lineage: Eukaryota; Metazoa; Chordata; Actinopteri; Beloniformes; Adrianichthyidae. The record is from RefSeq and is a predicted model, not a curated record.
CAGGCUGUUACAGAAAAAAAAAAAAAAGAAAUUAGAAAAAAGUGGCGCACACCUUCUUUCAUCUGAGCACGUUUCUCACGCUGUUUAUGCGGUAGUUUGUGAGUUCAAACGCGGGUCACAAGAGUGUGUUUUAACAGUGGUCUUCAUAUUUUCUCUUUGAAAAGGCUCCAUCAAAAGAUAUGUUUAAAGAGUUUGUGGCAGGUGCGCAUGCAACCCCCCCCCUAUGAGAAAGUAGUUUUUUUUUCUUCCAGAACAAUCCUUGCUCCCACCAGUUUGAAUUUAACAUAUUUUUUACUCCAAAAGGGUGAAAAUCGUUCAAAAAAUUUCCAUCAGCUUAUGCAAAAUUUAACUAAACAAACAUGUACUACCUUAAAAAUAAGAAAUUUAAAUAUUUUUCACUUCAUGUUUGUUUUAUUUGUUUAUUUUAAAAACUAAUUUGGUGUUUUUUUCUCCUAUUUGCCUAUGGCAGGUAUAAAAAAGAUGGAUUUGUGCUUGCCUUUAAGGCCACAUUUAAUCUUUUUUUUUUCAUUGUUUCAUUGCUGAGAUGCAUGCAGCAGGGUUUUUCCAGGUGACAGGUGAUCUGAGACCAGAACACCACCCACACUGCAGUUCGGCAUGAGCAGCAGGACCAGUAGAUAAAGAUCACCUUCUCUGCAGACAGACAGAACGUCUGGAGAAAGGGAAACCUGAAAAGCAAGUGUGUCUCUGUAUCUGUGAAGUUCAUCGAGAAUGAGAGCAUCUUAAGGAAAGCAUACACUUUCUCUGAUGGUUGUGAAAGAGCUAAUUUAGAAAGAAGCACAUGCAAGCAGCUUCAAAACUAAAAGAAGUGCAACUCAGAUGCCAUUUCUCAUGUAAUUACAAGCUGAACCUGGUGGAGCUUAACGCUGCAGUGACAGAUCAUCACGCCGCUGACCUAUUCAUCAUCAUCCUCCCAUCAUGCAUCUCUCUGCAAGGUUCUACACGACUGACUGUCAACCUGUCCUGUGCCAGUCUGAUCCUGUCGUCCACUUUACAGUUAAGCCAUUUCCUGUUUUCAGA